RNAcentral lists this ribosomal RNA (253 nucleotides) under uncultured bacterium. Its description in RNAcentral is "partial 16S ribosomal RNA". It matches the Rfam family "Bacterial small subunit ribosomal RNA", at positions 524 to 776 of the family's 1533-position model. The record is from RNAcentral.
CACGUAGGGCGCAAGCGUUGUUCGGAAUUACUGGGCGUAAAGGGCUCGUAGGCGGCCAACUAAGUCAGACGUGAAAUCCCUCGGCUUAACUGGGGAACUGCGUCUGAUACUGGAUGGCUCGAGUUUGGGAGAGGGAUGUGGAAUUCCAGGUGUAGCGGUGAAAUGCGUAGAUAUCUGGAGGAACACCGGUGGCGAAGGCGGCAUCCUGGACCAACACUGACGCUGAGGAGCGAAAGCCAGGGGAGCAAACGGG